Molecule: ribosomal RNA, 495 nt
Filed under: uncultured bacterium
Lineage: Bacteria
Description: partial 16S ribosomal RNA
Rfam family: Bacterial small subunit ribosomal RNA
Source: RNAcentral
GAUGAACGCUGGCGGCGUGCCUAAUACAUGCAAGUCGAACGCUGAAGCAGGAGCUUGCUUCUCUGGAUGAGUUGCGAACGGGUGAGUAACGCGUAGGUAACCUGCCUGGUAGCGGGGGAUAACUCUUGGAAACGAUAGCUAAUACCGCAUAACAGUAUAUAUCGCAUGAUAUCUACUUGAAAGUUGCAAUUGUGUCACUACCUGAUGGACCUUCGUGGUAUUAGGUAGUUGGUGAGGUAACGGCUCACCAAGGCGACGAUACAUAGCCGACCUGAGGAGGGGGACGGCCACAGUGGGAGUGAGACACGGCCCAGACUCCUACGGGAGGCCGCAGUAGGGAAUCGUCGGCAAAAGGCGGGAGUCUGACCGAGCAACGCCGGGUGGGUGAAGAAGGGUUUCGGAGCGUAAAGCUCUGUUGUAAGAGAAGAACGAGUGUGAGAGUGGAAAGUUCACACUGUGACGGUACCUUAACAGAAAGGGACGGCUAACUACGUG